AAAUUGAAGAGUUUGAUCAUGGCUCAGAUUGAACGCUGGCGGCAGGCCUAACACAUGCAAGUCGAACGGUAACAGGAAGCAGCUUGCUGCUUCGCUGACGAGUGGCGGACGGGUGAGUAAUGUCUGGGAAACUGCCUGAUGGAGGGGGAUAACUACUGGAAACGGUGGCUAAUACCGCAUAACGUCGCAAGACCAAAGAGGGGGACCUUCGGGCCUCUUGCCAUCAGAUGUGCCCAGAUGGGAUUAGCUAGUUGGUGAGGUAACGGCUCACCAAGGCGACGAUCCCUAGCUGGUCUGAGAGGAUGACCAGCCACACUGGAACUGAGACACGGUCCAGACUCCUACGGGAGGCAGCAGUGGGGAAUAUUGCACAAUGGGCGCAAGCCUGAUGCAGCCAUGCCGCGUGUAUGAAGAAGGCCUUCGGGUUGUAAAGUACUUUCAGCGGGGAGGAAGGUGUUGUGGUUAAUAAGCGCAGCAAUUGACGUUACCCGCAGAAGAAGCACCGGCUAACUCCGUGCCAGCAGCCGCGGUAAUACGGAGGGUGCAAGCGUUAAUCGGAAUUACUGGGCGUAAAGCGCACGCAGGCGGUCUGUCAAGUCGGAUGUGAAAUCCCCGGGCUCAACCUGGGAACUGCAUUCGAAACUGGC
This 647-nucleotide ribosomal RNA is filed under the name Salmonella enterica. RNAcentral's name for it is "bacterial SSU rRNA". It matches the Rfam family "Bacterial small subunit ribosomal RNA", at positions 1 to 637 of the family's 1533-position model. The record is from RNAcentral. Lineage: Bacteria; Pseudomonadati; Pseudomonadota; Gammaproteobacteria; Enterobacterales; Enterobacteriaceae.